RNAcentral lists this transfer RNA (66 nucleotides) under Umalia orientalis. Its description in RNAcentral is "tRNA-Ser". The record is from RNAcentral. Lineage: Eukaryota; Metazoa; Arthropoda; Malacostraca; Decapoda; Raninidae.
GAAGUAUUAAGUAAAGACUGAAGCUUCUAACUUUAAUCUAAGCGGUUAAAUUCCGUUUAUACUUCU